Molecule: ribosomal RNA, 570 nt
Filed under: proteobacterium enrichment culture clone E196
Lineage: Bacteria; Pseudomonadati; Pseudomonadota
Description: bacterial SSU rRNA
Rfam family: Bacterial small subunit ribosomal RNA
Source: RNAcentral
CACGUGGGAACGUGCCUUUAGGUUCGGAAUAACUCAGGGAAACUUGUGCUAAUACCGGAUGUGCCCUUCGGGGGAAAGAUUUAUCGCCUUUAGAGCGGCCCGCGUCUGAUUAGCUAGUUGGUGAGGUAAUGGCUCACCAAGGCUACGAUCAGUAGCUGGUCUGAGAGGAUGACCAGCCACAUUGGGACUGAGACACGGCCCAGACUCCUACGGGAGGCAGCAGUGGGGAAUAUUGGACAAUGGGCGAAAGCCUGAUCCAGCAAUGCCGCGUGAGUGAUGAAGGCCCUAGGGUUGUAAAGCUCUUUUACCCGGGAAGAUAAUGACUGUACCGGGAGAAUAAGCCCCGGCUAACUCCGUGCCAGCAGCCGCGGUAAUACGGAGGGGGCUAGCGUUGUUCGGAAUUACUGGGCGUAAAGCGCACGUAGGCGGCUAUUCAAGUCAGAGGUGAAAGCCCGGAGCUCAACUUCGGAAUUGCCUUUGAAACUAGAUAGCUUGAACACGGGAGAGGUGAGUGGAAUUCCGAGUGUAGAGGUGAAAUUCGUAGAUAUUCGGAAGAACACCAGUGGCGAA